Molecule: ribosomal RNA, 740 nt
Filed under: uncultured bacterium
Lineage: Bacteria
Description: bacterial SSU rRNA
Rfam family: Bacterial small subunit ribosomal RNA
Source: RNAcentral
UGCAGUGGAGCGACGAACCAGGGCUUGCCCUGGGGCAGAGCCGCGAACGGGUGAGUAACACGUGGGUAACGUGCCCCAAUGACUGGGACAACCCGGGGAAACCCGGGCUAAUACCGGAUAUGCCCCCUCACAUCAGUGAGGUGUGUAAAGGAAGCUUCGGCCUCCGCAUUGGGAUCGGCCCGCGGCCCAUUAGCUUGUUGGUGAGGUAAUGGCUCACCAAGGCUUCUAUGGGUAGCUGGUCUGAGAGGACGAUCAGCCACACUGGGACUGAGACACGGCCCAGACUCCUACGGGAGGCAGCAGUGGGGAAUCUUGCGCAAUGCGCGAAAGCGUGACGCAGCAACGCCGCGUGGGGGAAGACGGCCUUCGGGUUGUAAACCCCUUUCAGUUGGGACGAAGGUCGGACGGUUAACAGCCGUUCCGGCUGACGGUACCUUCACAAGAAGCCCCGGCUAACUACGUGCCAGCAGCCGCGGUAAUACGUAGGGGGCAAGCGUUGUCCGGAAUCAUUGGGCGUAAAGAGCGUGUAGGCGGCCCGAUAAGUCCGCUGUGAAAGUCGAGGGCUCAACCCUCGAAUGCCGGCGGAUACUGUCGGGCUAGAGUCCGGAAGAGGCGAGUGGAAUUCCUGGUGUAGCGGUGAAAUGCGCAGAUAUCAGAGGAACACCUACGGCGAAGGCAGCUCGCUGGGACGGUACUGACGCUGAGACGCGAAAGCGUGGGGAGCAAACAGGAUUAGACAC